UCUGCCUCUCUCUCUCUCUCUCUCUUUCUCUGUGACUAUCAUAAAAAAAAAAAAGAAACUGUAACAUUUUAUACUUCCAAUAGCAACAACAAAAAUCUUUUCCCCACCUCUUCCUCAACAUUAUUACACUUCUUUAAAGCUUUGCACCUGUAACGUUUGAAACACUCUUUCUUUAAGGAUCCAAGAAUAUUACAAAGGAUGCCAAUUCACAGACUCUGAAAAUCUACUGGAUUUUGUUCUAGAAGUAGACACAAGGAAGAAUAGUUUUUAUAAUUUUACCAGUGUUUUUAAGAUACAUAUGAAGGUUAUUAAGCAAAAAUGUUUAUAGAAGAGAUCUAAAGAGCUGUCAACUGUAGAAGACAAGCUAUAGUACUUUUUAUUUUUACAUAUCAAGCAAAGAUGGAUGCUCUAAAAAGUUUUCUUUGGAAAAUAUUGUCCAAUGUUCAAGUUGUUGAGGCUUUUAUUAAUGUAUUCCUAUUUUAAAAGCAGGCUUUAUCUAAACAUUUUAUCAUGAAUAUUAAGAUUAGAUAGAUAUUUUGAAUUUUCAAAAACUCCAAAUCAGAUUAAAAAAAUCUCAAUGGCCACUGUUCAUCCAAAUCUGUCUAAAAAUUAGUUAUGUGCUAGCCAAAAUGAUGGUUUCAACCUAUACUGUCAGUCUUUCUUAUUUGUGAAGAACCUAACUUCCUUGUUGUUACUCAUACAUUCAAAUAUUAUUUUUUUUGAUUGAUACUACUUUUCUUCAUUGUUGUAUAAAUCUGAAAUUUCCUUAUGAUUUAAUUUGUGGUCUUCACUUACCGAAUCCCGUUUAAGAAAAUUUGGUGACUCACUUAUUAAUGGUCUUGAAGCAAGAAUGUCUAUUUUACCUUCCAGUCUUCCUUCCAUGGUUUUAAUAGCAUUCAAAAGAGUCUUUAGAGAGAUUCUGGUGUCUCCAACCUCCUGAGAAGCUCUCACAGAAGUCAGACUAGGUGCAAAGGUCACACGGCGUGCAGAGUUUGGAACAACACUGGGCAAACCAACUGAUGAAGUUCUUUCCUUUACGUUGUUUACAUGGGGCCUAUAGCUUUCAAUCAAUUUGGAUGAUGCAGGCCUUUCUGGAGAUCUCCUUCUUCUUGGAGGCAUCACCAAUUAAAAACGGUAAAAUAACUAAACCUAGAGUUAUUUUUCAAUAAGUGUUCCUUUUAUGAGGAGGAACAACACAAUAUUCUUUUUUUUUUUAACACAAUAUUCUAAAUGAAGCUGUGAUGGCAAAUAUACUUGAAAAUGUGUUCCUUUGCUUUCAAAAUGAAGAAAUCACACUGUAAAGUUGUCCUAGUGAAGAAACAGACCUUCCUUAAAUCAAAUUCCCUGUAGGAGAGUGUAUCUAAUGAGGCCUCCGUUUCCAGUAUAGUCAGAUGGUUAGAACCCUAACAGUAUUCUAUUUGGAGGCACAUUCUAGCUCCUUGGUUACCAAUGCGAUACAAACAAAAAAAUUAUAGAUACAGAAGUCAGACAUACUGAGCAUUUAAGAUUUUUUAAAAAAUUUCAUACAUGGCAAAUUUGUAAAUCACUGAAAUGAAUUACUUUCUUUUGGUAACACAAUCCUGGUUUAUUUUUCUUCACUAAAUAUUCUGUAUCUUGUCUAAUUUGUCCAUCCAUUUGCUAAAGUGUUAUGUGACCUACAAAAGGUUUUCAGCCUCAGUGGCCACCAUGAUGACAAGGUCAUUAGCUCACUCUCAAGGGACUUCCUGGCUAAAAUACUCAGUGAACACUAGGGCCAGAGGCGUCAUGAUUCACUGGCAAACACCAGAUGCUCAACAAGCGAAAGCUCCCCGGAAGCAGCCUCACGCUACAGCGACUAUGGUGCUCUGACUUGCAUCCACCUCAGUGGCUUCUUUAUUCUCCCACAGGCAAACAGCUAGAGGAUGGCUGCACUCGGAGACUACAAUAUCCAGAAAGAGUUCACCCUAUACUUGGUGCUUUGUCUGUGGAGCUGCAUCAUUGUAUCAUCAAGGCUUCCCUCCUCUAGCUCACCCACAAAUAUGACUGUGACAAGAUUAUGUGCUGUAAGUAUUAGGCUUGCCUGCAGCCCUGUACUAUCAACUGCUGCAAGAAGUGCAGCCACACCAACAACCUAUACCCCAAGAGAAGAUCAACUAAGGUCCCUCCACUAGCUUUUCCUUUACCCAUAGGGCAGCCUCCUGCCCAAGCCCCAUGGCCCUGCAGCUUCAAUAAAGUUUCCAUUACAUUGAGUGGGAGGAAAAAAAAGUCUGUUUUGAAGCCAGGCAUUGACUUCUCCUCUUUAGCUAUGAAACUCCUAAAUGGCAUCUUCCAAAGGCAUCUGUUUUAUCUACAUUGAAAAUCUGUUGUUUACUGUAGCAACUUUCAUUAAUUAUCUUCUAGAUCUUCUGGAAAACUUGCUGCAGAUUCUAUAUUAGCACUUGCUUCACCUUGGACUUUUAUGUUAGAGACAGUUUCUGUCUCUAAACCUCAUGAACCAACCUCUGCUAGCUUUCAAUUUAUCUUCUGCAACUUCCUUAUUUCUCUCAGCCUUCACAGAAUUGAAGACAGUUAGGGUCUUACUCUGGAUUAGGCUUUGGUUUAAGGGAAUGUUACAGAUUGAUCUAUCCGGACCACUAAAACUUUCUCCAUAUCUGCAAAAAAAGCUGUUUUACUUCCUUAUCAUUCACAUGUUCACUGGAAUAGUAU
Long non-coding RNA from Canis lupus familiaris (dog), 2685 nucleotides. RefSeq lists it as uncharacterized. The record is from RefSeq and is a predicted model, not a curated record. The transcript is spliced from 3 exons. NCBI's taxonomy places the organism in Eukaryota, Metazoa, Chordata, Mammalia, Carnivora, Canidae.